GUACACUCCUACGGGAGGCAGCAGUGGGGAAUUUUGGACAAUGGGCGAAAGCCUGAUCCAGCAAUGCCGCGUGUGUGAAGAAGGCCUUCGGGUUGUAAAGCACUUUUGUCCGGAAAGAAAUCCUUGGCUCUAAUACAGUCGGGGGAUGACGGUACCGGAAGAAUAAGCACCGGCUAACUACGUGCCAGCAGCCGCGGUAAUACGUAGGGUGCGAGCGUUAAUCGGAAUUACUGGGCGUAAAGCGUGCGCAGGCGGUUUGCUAAGACCGAUGUGAAAUCCCCGGGCUCAACCUGGGAACUGCAUUGGUGACUGGCAGGCUAGAGUAUGGCAGAGGGGGGUAGAAUUCCACGUGUAGCAGUGAAAUGCGUAGAGAUGUGGAGGAAUACCGAUGGCGAAGGCAGCCCCCUGGGCCAAUACUGACGCUCAUGCACGAAAGCGUGGGGAGCAAACAGGAUUAGAAACCCGUGUAGUCCCAUGAU
Molecule: ribosomal RNA, 479 nt
Filed under: uncultured organism
Description: partial 16S ribosomal RNA
Rfam family: Bacterial small subunit ribosomal RNA
Source: RNAcentral